GUAACAAGGUUUCCGUAGGUGAACCUGCGGAAGGAUCAUUACCGAGUGCGGGUUCUAACGAGCCCAACCUCCCACCCGUGUUUACUGUUACCGCGUUGCCUCGGCGGGCCCACUGGGGCCUGGCCCCGGUCGCCGGGGGGCUUCUGCCCCCGGGCCCGCGCCCGCCGAAGCACCCUAGAACCCUGCCUGAAUAGUGAGUCUGAGUGAGAUAUUAAAUCAUUAAAACUUUCAACAACGGAUCUCUUGGUUCCGGCAUCGAUGAAGAACGCAGCGAAAUGCGAUAAGUAAUGUGAAUUGCAGAAUUCCGUGAAUCAUCGAAUCUUUGAACGCACAUUGCGCCCCCUGGCAUUCCGGGGGGCAUGCCUGUCCGAGCGUCAUUUCUGCCCUCCAGCACGGCUGGGUGUUGGGCGCUGUCCCCCCGGGGACACGCCCCAAAAGCAGUGGCGGCGCCGCGUCGGGUCCUCGAGCGUAUGGGGCUUUGUCACCCGCUCGGGAGGGACUCGGUCGGCGCUGGUCUUCCUUUUAGGCAGCCCUUCGGGGUGCGCCUCUUCCGGUUGACCUCGGAUCAGGUAGGGCUACCCGCUGAACUUAAGCAUAUCA
Molecule: unclassified non-coding RNA, 600 nt
Filed under: Talaromyces wortmannii
Lineage: Eukaryota; Fungi; Ascomycota; Eurotiomycetes; Eurotiales; Trichocomaceae
Description: sequence contains 18S rRNA gene, ITS1, 5.8S rRNA gene, ITS2, 28S rRNA gene
Rfam family: 5.8S ribosomal RNA (bases 224-377)
Source: RNAcentral